AGGAGACUGGACGGCUGCGCUUCAUUUUUUUAUCAUGGAGUGAGGAAAGUCCGGACUCCACGGGCAGAGGUGCUGGGUAACGCCCAGGCGGAGCGAUCCGACACCGGCGCCACAGAGAAUAUACCGCCGAUGGAUGGGAAAGGUAUUUCCAUCACAGGUAAGGGUGAAAUGGCGAGGUAAGAGCUCACCGCGUUUGUGGUAACACAAACGGCACGGCAAGCGUCACCUGGAGCAAGACCAAAUAGGAGGGAAUCUUUGACAAGAGGCUGGCCCAGCCGUUUCCCUCGGGUAGGUCGCUAGAGACCCGAAGCAAUUCUGGUUCAAGAGAAAUGGUCGUCGCCGUCCUGAGUCAGUCUCAUGGCGGAACAGAAUCCGGCUUAUAGGUCUCCUCA
Molecule: RNase P RNA, 392 nt
Filed under: marine eukaryotic metagenome
Description: Bacterial RNase P class A
Rfam family: Bacterial RNase P class A
About the family: Ribonuclease P (RNase P) is a ubiquitous endoribonuclease, found in archaea, bacteria and eukarya as well as chloroplasts and mitochondria. Its best characterised activity is the generation of mature 5'-ends of tRNAs by cleaving the 5'-leader elements of precursor-tRNAs.
Source: RNAcentral